Molecule: ribosomal RNA, 496 nt
Filed under: uncultured bacterium
Lineage: Bacteria
Description: partial 16S ribosomal RNA
Rfam family: Bacterial small subunit ribosomal RNA
Source: RNAcentral
GACGAACGCUGGCGGCGUGCCUAAUACAUGCAAGUUGAGCGCUGAAGGUUGGUACUUGUGCCCACUGGAUGAGCAGCGAACGGGUGAGUAACGCGUGGGGAAUCUGCCUUUGAGCGGGGGACAACAUUUGGAAACGAAUGCUAAUACCGCAUAAAAACUUUAAACACAAGUUUUAAGUUUGAAAGAUGCAAUUGCAUCACUCAAAGAUGAUCCCGCGUUGUAUUAGCUAGUUGGUGAGGUAAAGGCUCACCAAGGCGAUGAUACAUAGCCGACCUGAGAGGGUGAUCGGCCACAUUGGGACUGAGACACGGCCCAAACUCCUACGGGAGGCAGCAGUAGGGAAUCUUCGGCAAUGGACGAAAGUCUGACCGAGCAACGCCGCGUGAGUGAAGAAGGUGUUCGGAUCGUAAAACUCUGUUGGUAGAGAAGAACGUUGGUGAGAGUGGAAAGCUCAUCAAGUGACGGUAACUAACCAGAAAGGGACGGCUAACUACGU